UCAGGAUGAACGCGUGGCGGCGUGCCCAACACAUGCAAGUCGAGCGGAGAUAUAUCGGAGAUUCUUCGGAUGAUCUUUAUAUCUUAGCGGCGGAUGGGUGAGUAACACGUGGGUAACCUGCCCUGCACUGGGGAAUAACAGUUGGAAACGACUGUUAAUACCGCAUAUGCGCACGGGGUCGCAUGACCCUGGGCGGAAAGAUUUAUCGGUGCAGGAUGGGCCCGCGUCGGAUUAACUGGUUGGUGAGGUAAUGGCCCACCAAGGUGUAUGAUCCGUAGCCGACCUGAGAGGGUGACCGGCCACAUUGGGACUGAGACACGGCCCAAACUCCUACGGGAGGCAGCAGUGGGGGAUAUUGCACAAUGGGCGCAAGCCUUGAUGCAGCGACGCCGCGUGAAGGAAGACGUAUUUCGGUAUGUAAACUUCUAUCAGCGGGGAAGAAGAUGACGGUACCCGACUAAGAAGCCCCGGCUAAUUACGUGCCAGCAGCAGC
RNAcentral lists this ribosomal RNA (493 nucleotides) under uncultured bacterium. RNAcentral's name for it is "bacterial SSU rRNA". It matches the Rfam family "Bacterial small subunit ribosomal RNA", at positions 24 to 518 of the family's 1533-position model. The record is from RNAcentral.